Long non-coding RNA from Dromaius novaehollandiae (emu), 701 nucleotides. RefSeq lists it as uncharacterized. The record is from RefSeq and is a predicted model, not a curated record. The transcript has 3 exons. NCBI's taxonomy places the organism in Eukaryota, Metazoa, Chordata, Aves, Casuariiformes, Dromaiidae.
GUUCCCUUUUCCUCCCUGUCUCCCCGGAAUCCACCGCAGAGCCCCGAGCGCGACCCCGCGAUCCCCAGCACCGGCCCGGGGCUCCCCCGACACCGCCGCGGCCGGCUACAGGCAGCUGUGAGCUGUUGCGUAGUCUCGGCAGACAAGUUGGGGAUCGCUGCCCAGGCAGUCGUGACCUGCAACACUGCAUGCUCAGAACAGUUCUCAGGAAGUCACGCGUACUCAUAACCUGAAGAGCAAAAAGCAAAUCUCUCUUAAGGUACUUUCCUGUCCUGUUGCCGAUUCACCCCCCGGUUGUCCUAUAGCAAGCAGUUGAGACACCUUGGCCUAAUUCUUAGCCGCACACGCCUUUUGAUCUGGCAAGCAGCUCAGACAGAGCAGAGGGCAGCAAGAAAGGUGGAUCUGAAUGUAGUAGACUUGGGCACCGAGCAAGAUGGAAGCAGCAGCAAGGCAUCAAAGAGAUGGCAUCUUUGUAAAGAAAAGAGAUAUAGUUCCAGGCUACCGGGGAUUCUCUGUACCUGUGGCCAGGGCUCCUUCCUCUGCAGGCUCUUUCCACACAGUUAAAGGUAGCUGAACGCAGUGCCCUUGGGAGGCAGUGACAUGGUGUCCCCGGUACUGCUGUGGGGUGGCUGUUCCAGGGUCUCUCAGGCUGUUUUGGGGUCCUUGGACAGAGACAGUGCUGUUCACAUUUCCUUGAGGAC